Molecule: long non-coding RNA, 307 nt
Filed under: Elaeis guineensis (African oil palm)
Lineage: Eukaryota; Viridiplantae; Streptophyta; Magnoliopsida; Arecales; Arecaceae
Description: long non-coding RNA (EGUI_LNC005021)
Source: RNAcentral
CAUGGUAUGGGGGCAAGGAGAUCUAGAAACUCUCAGAGUUAGAAGGAGGCCGAAUAUCGAGUCGAGGUGGGGAUUGUUAAGAUUUGACGUCUCUAGAGUCGAUCUACAUUGAGCUCACAGUGAGGUUUGCGAUAAAAAAUGGAGUCCAAUAAGACCAAGAACAUCCCAAACGGAGCUCGGACAGAGAAGAUACGUGCUUUUGAAGUUGGCAUGCAACCCGAGACGAUGGAGGACCGCCAGUGGACGGCGGUGGGCCGGCGGAGCGGCUACGGCAUGGCCGCAAGUGGCGAAACGCGGCCAGUGCACG